Molecule: microRNA precursor, 128 nt
Filed under: Ornithorhynchus anatinus (platypus)
Lineage: Eukaryota; Metazoa; Chordata; Mammalia; Monotremata; Ornithorhynchidae
Description: microRNA oan-mir-184 precursor
Gene: oan-mir-184
Rfam family: mir-184 microRNA precursor family (bases 27-110)
Source: miRBase by way of RNAcentral
UCCCAGAAGGCAGACGACGUCCAGGGCCCAUCACGUCUCUUUAUCACUUUUCCAGCCCAGCUUUCUGGUUCUAGCCGUUGGACGGAGAAUUGAUAAGGGUACGGGGUCGGCAGGAGCAUCCUCCGGGA